AUUGAACGCUGGCGGCAGGCCUAACACAUGCAAGUCGAACGCGUGGCGGACGGGUGAGUAAUGUCUGGGAAACUGCCUGAUGGAGGGGGAUAACUACUGGAAACGGUAGCUAAUACCGCAUAACCUCGUAUGUGCCCAGAUGGGAUUAGCUAGUAGGUGGGGUAACGGCUCACCUAGGCGACGAUCCCUAGCUGGUCUGAGAGGAUGACCAGCCACACUGGAACUGAGACACGGUCCAGACUCCUACGGGAGGCAGCAGUGGGGAAUAUUGCACAAUGGGCGCAAGCCUGAUGCAGCCAUGCCGCGUGUAUGAAGAAGGCCUUCGGGUUGUAAAGUACUUUCAGCGGGGAGGCGUUACCCGCAGAAGAAGCACCGGCUAACUCCGUGCCAGCAGCCGCGGUAAUUC
RNAcentral lists this ribosomal RNA (406 nucleotides) under uncultured bacterium. RNAcentral's name for it is "partial 16S ribosomal RNA". It matches the Rfam family "Bacterial small subunit ribosomal RNA", at positions 30 to 526 of the family's 1533-position model. The record is from RNAcentral.